Molecule: ribosomal RNA, 253 nt
Filed under: uncultured bacterium
Lineage: Bacteria
Description: partial 16S ribosomal RNA
Rfam family: Bacterial small subunit ribosomal RNA
Source: RNAcentral
UACGUAGGGUGCGAGCGUUAAUCGGAAUUACUGGGCGUAAAGCGUGCGCAGGCGGUUUGCUAAGACAGGUGUGAAAUCCCCGGGCUUAACCUGGGAACUGCGCUUGUAACUGGCAAGCUAGAGUGUGGCAGAGGGGGGUGGAAUUCCACGUGUAGCAGUGAAAUGCGUAGAGAUGUGGAGGAAUACCGAUGGCGAAGGCAGCCCCCUGGGAUGACACUGACGCUCAUGCACGAAAGCGUGGGGAGCAAACAGG